ACGAGUCAUGAGGCAAUCGGGGGCAGGGACGGGGGAACCAUCAUCGGUCCUCGACCGGCACGCCGUACUGCGGCGCCCGGGACGUGAGGACCUUGGGGUGAAGCCGCCAGUGUGCGGCCGGGCAACCUUCGCGCCCGAAUCCGACAGCUAACCUCGCAGGCGUGCCGGAGGGAUUCC
Molecule: small RNA, 177 nt
Filed under: Actinoplanes sp.
Lineage: Bacteria; Bacillati; Actinomycetota; Actinomycetes; Micromonosporales; Micromonosporaceae
Also listed under: 1 other name
Description: c-di-AMP sequence
Rfam family: c-di-AMP riboswitch aptamer (ydaO/yuaA leader)
About the family: This family represents a conserved RNA structure found upstream of the ydaO and yuaA genes in Bacillus subtilis and related genes in other bacteria. The ydaO/yuaA element is thought to act as a genetic "off" switch for the ydaO and yuaA genes in its native state.
Source: RNAcentral